RNAcentral lists this ribosomal RNA (260 nucleotides) under uncultured bacterium. RNAcentral describes it as "partial 16S ribosomal RNA". It matches the Rfam family "Bacterial small subunit ribosomal RNA", at positions 526 to 779 of the family's 1533-position model. The record is from RNAcentral.
CGUAGGUGGCAAGCGUUGUCCGGAUUUAUUGGGCGUAAAAGCGAGUGCAGGCGGCUCGAUAAGUCUGAUGUGAAAAGCCUUCGGCUCAACCGGAGAAUUGCAUCAGAAACUGUCGAGCUUUGAGUACAGAAAGAGGAGAGUGGAACUCCAUGUGUAGCGGUGAAAUGCGUAGAUAUAUGGAAGAACACCGGUGGCGAAGGCGGCUCUCUGGUCUGUUUACUGACGCUGAGGCUCGAAAGCAUGGGUAGCGAAACAGGAUU